UUUAAUAAUGUUCGGGUGUUUAAGAAGACCGGCCUCGACAUCAACCAACUAAGGAGCCGAAAAACAUUCACAUAUUUGAACGACGACUUUUGAGAACUGGUUUCUAAUACCUGUCUUGCAUCGCAUGUUUACGUCAUCGUGAGCUGACUGAAUGUUCCGAAGAUCUCAAAUACGUCAUCGUUUGAGAAAGGUUCAAGAAAAUUUCCUAAUAUUAUUCGAUUAUUCAAGAAGACCGGCCACGAUAUCAACCAACUAAGGCCAACUGAACGAUUUCGAUUGUUGUUUAUGUUUGUUGUACGAACGCUUGAUGUAGAAUCAGAGCCAUCGGGUGAAAAGCAAAGGGCGCGAAGAUGGAAGAUAGGACUCUACGCUUCGCUAGAGGAUUCUUCACUUGUGUGGUACUACAAAUUUCGUCUGUCGAUUUAUUAGUUAGUCAGCAAGGAAUGACUAGAUAGGGUUCGACAGACGAAUCUAAACUAAGUGUUUUAAUAACUCUUAUUACGAAUGGUUACCGAAGAACAACUCAGUCCGGCGGGUAAUAGGAAUUUAAGAAUUCAAAUGAUUUUUAAUAUGAUCUGCUCUUUAUGGGCGUGUACAUAAUUCAUACAUUAAUCAGUAUAAAUUACUGAUUGAACUUUUAUUCAACAUCAUUCUGAUGUAUCGAUCCACACAGUAAUAAUUUCGUGGACGAUUUCUUACGAUUAAUAUUUGAAAUAGGGAAAACUAACCAUAUUUUCUUUUAAUAAUGCCGAAACCUUUCAAUAAUUAUCAUAACAAUGUGAUAUCUUUAAAAUUAAACAAAAUUUGCUCUUUUGACCGACUGAAUUUAAUAAAGAAGGGUUUCGGUUAGGCUUAACACUGCACUGAUUUAUGUGUUGUUAGUUAGAUAGGGCGUUAGGUUUAUUUUUUUAUUUUUGGGAUUAAGCUUCAAAGUCUCCUAAAUUAAAUUGGUCACAUGGAGCACAUAUUUGGAUGAGACUUGAAGUUUUUUCCUUGUUAGGCCAUAGUACAGGGUCUCACAAAUUGUGAGACGAAGCAGACGAAAGACAUCGGAA
Long non-coding RNA from Styela clava, 1055 nucleotides. RefSeq lists it as uncharacterized. NCBI's taxonomy places the organism in Eukaryota, Metazoa, Chordata, Ascidiacea, Stolidobranchia, Styelidae. The record is from RefSeq and is a predicted model, not a curated record.